Rhagoletis pomonella (apple maggot) is the source of this 125-nucleotide long non-coding RNA. RefSeq lists it as uncharacterized. The record is from RefSeq and is a predicted model, not a curated record. The transcript has 2 exons. NCBI's taxonomy places the organism in Eukaryota, Metazoa, Arthropoda, Insecta, Diptera, Tephritidae.
UCUACCCUCGAGCGAUCGUCUUCACUUGCGAUAGACGUUCACUCGAGAGGUUUAUACAUUCAUGUACUAAACAAUCCACGCUCAAAAACUUUUCAAUAAACUCAAUUAUAUUUUCUGCAUAAUAA